ACCAAACUACCAUAAUACAAUAAAAAUGAGAAUAAUAUUGAGAAAUGAACCUUUUAUUGACGAACAAAGCUGAAAAAUGCAAAUUAAUCGGGCUAAACAAAACAAUAAUACUUGAACUGAAAUAUCCAAAUUUACAAACCGGAACCUCGAAUCGGCACUGGAAAACUCAAAUCCCAAACGCGGCCCCUAUCAAACUCCUCCUUCAAUCCCAAUUCAAUCUCGCUUACACGCUGCCCUAAACCCUCAACGCACUAACCCCUCUGCAAUUACAGUGGUUGAAACCUCUUGUCCGUUAAUUGCAGCAGCAGCACGAUUUCUUCACCCCCGUAUUUCCGAUGAUUAUGUACUUGAAGAGAUAAAAGACAUUUUCCGAUGAAGAUGAUUAUCAUUGGAACUGAGUUACCUGGCCGGAGAAAUUAUACAAUAGAAAUAUAGCGAAAAGGAGAAAUGGAUAACACAAAAGUAAUUUAAGGAGUGACGUCCAGAUUUUGUUUAGAGAUUUUUGGAGGAAACGUAUUUAAGCGAGGUAUCUUCUUUCAGAAAAUAACCCCCAAUACCUCCCAGCAUUCCCAUAGCAGUAGCCAUGGAAGAGUUGAGUGAACAAAAUUAGAGAGCUAUACCCAACAGCAGAUUCAACUUUUAAUACAUAUAUUCCCACAAUAGGAACUAGCAAUCUUUAAAUAGAUUACAGAAAUAUUUCUAGUCAAUCAAUUAGCUGCAACAAAUCCAAAAGAGAGCUUAAAAUCUAGCGAACCAAAAUGGAAAUGGACUAUGUAAAAUGGAAUAACUGUUCGUUGAAAAACGUCAACAACUUGUGAAAAGGGGUAAAAUCUGACAUGAAGACGUAGAUAGGAGAGGAUUUAUG
This 865-nucleotide long non-coding RNA is filed under the name Nicotiana benthamiana. RNAcentral describes it as "long non-coding RNA (NBEN_LNC027387)". The record is from RNAcentral. Lineage: Eukaryota; Viridiplantae; Streptophyta; Magnoliopsida; Solanales; Solanaceae.